RNAcentral lists this ribosomal RNA (119 nucleotides) under Lepisosteus oculatus (spotted gar). The record is from RNAcentral. Lineage: Eukaryota; Metazoa; Chordata; Actinopteri; Semionotiformes; Lepisosteidae.
GGCAGCAGCCAUAUCACCCUGCAUUUUACAACUGACAGCCCACUGAAACUGAAGCAAGUGUGAGCUUGGUUAGUACCUGGAUGGGAGACCUCCUGGGAAAGCUAAGGUUUCUGCUGGAA